Molecule: ribosomal RNA, 500 nt
Filed under: uncultured bacterium
Lineage: Bacteria
Description: partial 16S ribosomal RNA
Rfam family: Bacterial small subunit ribosomal RNA
Source: RNAcentral
AUUGAACGCUGGCGGCAUGCCUUACACAUGCAAGUCGAACGGCAGCACAGGAGCAGUCCUGGUGGCGAGUGGCGAACGGGUGAGUAAUAUAUCGGAACGUGCCCAGUCGUGGGGGAUAACGCAGCGAAAGCUGUGCUAAUACCGCAUACGAUCUAAGGAUGAAAGCGGGGGAUCGCAAGACCUCGCGCGAUUGGAGCGGCCGAUAUCAGAUUAGCUAGUUGGUGGGGUAAAGGCCCACCAAGGCGACGAUCUGUAGCUGGUCUGAGAGGACGACCAGCCACACUGGAACUGAGACACGGUCCAGACUCCUACGGGAGGCAGCAGUGGGGAAUUUUGGACAAUGGGCGCAAGCCUGAUCCAGCAAUGCCGCGUGCAGGAUGAAGGCCUUCGGGUUGUAAACUGCUUUUGUACGGAACGAAACGGCCCUUUCUAAUACAGGGGGCUAAUGACGGUACCGUAAGAAUAAGCACCGGCUAACUACGUGCCAGCCGCCGCGGUAA